GAUGAACGCUGGCGGCGUGCCUAAUACAUGCAAGUCGAGCGACCAGAUGAUGAGCUUGCUCCUCUGCCGUUAGCGGCGGACGGGUGAGUAACGAGUGGAUAACAAACCUAUAAGACUGGGAUGACUUCGGGAGAAAGGAGCUAAUAACAGCUAAUAUAUUGAACCGCAUGGUUCAAUAGUGAAAGACGGUUUUCGUGUCACUUUUAGAUGAUGCCGCAUUAGCUAGUUGGCUUGGUAAAGGACCACCAAGGCAACGAUACGUAGCUGGUCUGAGAGGAUGAUCAGCCACACUGGAACUGAGACACGGUCCAGACUCCUACGGGAGGCAGCAGUGGGGAAUCUUGGGCAAUGGGCGCAAGCCUGAUCCAGCCAUACCGCGUGGGUGAAGAAGGCCUUCGGGUUGUAAAGCCCUUUUGUUGGGAAAGAAAAACAGCAGGUUAAUCCCCCGCUGUUCUGACGGUACCCAAAGAAUAAGCCCCGGCUAACUUCGUG
This 492-nucleotide ribosomal RNA is filed under the name uncultured bacterium. RNAcentral describes it as "partial 16S ribosomal RNA". It matches the Rfam family "Bacterial small subunit ribosomal RNA", at positions 28 to 507 of the family's 1533-position model. The record is from RNAcentral.